CAGAAAAUAGUUUAACAUAAAAUUCUAACUUUGGGAGUUAGGGAUCUAGUCUUAGUUUUCUGA
RNAcentral lists this transfer RNA (63 nucleotides) under Sabella spallanzanii. RNAcentral's name for it is "tRNA-Pro". Lineage: Eukaryota; Metazoa; Annelida; Polychaeta; Sabellida; Sabellidae. The record is from RNAcentral.